Long non-coding RNA from Nothoprocta perdicaria, 352 nucleotides. RefSeq lists it as uncharacterized. Lineage: Eukaryota; Metazoa; Chordata; Aves; Tinamiformes; Tinamidae. The transcript has 2 exons. The record is from RefSeq and is a predicted model, not a curated record.
UAAAGCUCUCUCGCCUAAGUAGCUUAGCUUAGCUUGGUUUAAGGACUUGUCGGACUCAGCGCUCUGGUUUACRGCGCUUCCCAGAGCAACUUCCAGUCUGCCGUCACACCUCAGUGCUUCUUAAUCGUGCUGGACUAUGGCAUUACAUGACAACUCAUACAGAAUUGAAAGGGUGUGUUUGAAAAGAUACUGUAGGAUUUAAUACCAAAUGUGCAAAACACUUAUCACUGUACUGUAGGACUGUAUUACCAACUUCAUAACUGAACACACUGUUCAGAAAGUGCUUUUCCAACCAGAGUCUSUGUGAUCCCGAGCAUCUCUUGGUGGUUUUUGUUUGCAUAGAGGUGCUGGG